UGAGGAAUAUUGGUCAAUGGGGCGGAAGCCUGAACCAGCCAAGUAGCGUGCAGGACGACGGCCCUAUGGGUUGUAAACUGCUUUUAUGCGGGGAUAAAGUGGGCCACGCGUGGCCUUUUGCAGGUACCGCAUGAAUAAGGACCGGCUAAUUCCGUGCCAGCAGCCGCGGUAAUACGGAAGGUCCGGGCGUUAUCCGGAUUUAUUGGGUUUAAAGGGAGCGUAGGCCGGAGAUUAAGCGUGUUGUGAAAUGUAGACGCUCAACGUCUGCACUGCAGCGCGAACUGGUUUCCUUGAGUACGCACAAAGUGGGCGGAAUUCGUGGUGUAGCGGUGAAAUGCUUAGAUAUCACGAAGAACUCCGAUUGCGAAGGCAGCUCACUGGAGCGCAACUGACGCUGAAGCUCGAAAGUGC
This 411-nucleotide ribosomal RNA is filed under the name uncultured Prevotella sp. Its description in RNAcentral is "bacterial SSU rRNA". It matches the Rfam family "Bacterial small subunit ribosomal RNA", at positions 355 to 762 of the family's 1533-position model. Lineage: Bacteria; Pseudomonadati; Bacteroidota; Bacteroidia; Bacteroidales; Prevotellaceae. The record is from RNAcentral.